UACGUAGGGACCAAGCGUUGUUCGGAUUUACUGGCGUAAAGGGCGCGUAGGCGGCAAUUCAAGUCAUCUGUGAAAUCUCCGGGCUUAACUCGGAACGGUCAGAUGAUACUGCUUUGCUAGAGUGCAGAAGGGGCAAUCGGAAUUCUUGGUGUAGCGGUGAAAUGCGUAGAUAUCAAGAGGAACACCUGAGGUGAAGACGGGUUGCUGGGCUGACACUGACGCUGAGGCGCGAAAGCUAGGGUAGCAAACGGG
RNAcentral lists this ribosomal RNA (252 nucleotides) under uncultured bacterium. Its description in RNAcentral is "partial 16S ribosomal RNA". It matches the Rfam family "Bacterial small subunit ribosomal RNA", at positions 524 to 776 of the family's 1533-position model. The record is from RNAcentral.